This 1381-nucleotide long non-coding RNA is filed under the name Musa acuminata (dwarf banana). RNAcentral describes it as "long non-coding RNA (MACU_LNC004708)". Lineage: Eukaryota; Viridiplantae; Streptophyta; Magnoliopsida; Zingiberales; Musaceae. The record is from RNAcentral.
GGAAUCACGGGCGUUGCGCUUCGGAUCGGUGGCGGCGAAGACGGUGUAGACGAGGACGAAGGUACCGAUGAUCUCGGCGGCGAGGCCGGUGCCCUUGGAGUAGCCGGCGCUGAGCUCGUUGGCGCCGCCACCGUAGCGGACGAAGUAGGCCUCUUGGAAUCCCUUGACGAGGCCGACUCCGCAUAUGGCUCCCAGGCACUGCGCCACCAUGUAGAGGAGGGCGCGGACCAGCGAGACCUUGCGCGCCAAGAAUAGCCCCAGCGUCACCGCCGGGUUGAUGUGCCCACCUGCAUGCGCCGCAUCGCCCACACGAGCGCCGUCAGCAAAUGCAUACUUACCGUAGAGACUGCAAGCAACGAGUACUGUCGCAAAGCAAAGGGACGAACCGGAGAUGCCGGCGGUGCAGUAGACGAGAAUAAAGAUCAUGCCGCCGAAGGCCCACGCGAUGCCGAGGAUCCCGACGCCGCUACACGCGGCGUCGGCCGGGUUCACGUUGGGGUCCGACUGGUGCUUGUACCCGAUCACGGUCGCCACCGUGACGUACAGGAACAGCAUCGUCGCGACGAACUCCGCGAUCGCCGCGCGGUACAACGACCACUUGGUCAGCUCCUCCGCGUCGAUGAGCGGCGCCGGCGGUGGGUCAGUGUAGUCCUUGCCUCCGUACUCGCCGCGUCCUGCCACCUCGGUAUCCUUCGCCAUCGAUGCAGUUGCGAACCAGAGGACAAGUAGUAGCACUUGUAAGCUGUGCGCUUGGAAGGAGGGAGAGUUGGAGCUAUUUAUGGGCCACGGGUGACGAACAGUAGCAGCAGGAGAGCUGGUUCUCUCCGUGCAAUCUUGCUACCGAUGGAUUGAGGUUUAGGGUUAUAAUAUGCCGCCCCUGACCGACCAAAUCCUCAUCGGUGGAUCAUCAUCGCAGUUCAUCAACCCAUUGUCGGCCCCACCACGCAGUACUAUUCCAAGUCAGAUGCUCGACCACCGCCGGUACGUGAGAGGGAUGCUAUAUGCCUGUGUCGGCUGUGUCGUUUCUUCCAUUGAUGGAAGUAAUGGCAGCAGGGUAUGGCAAAGACUAGGGGCUCGCAGUAAUCUCACACAGACGCAGGUGACCGGUGAUAUGACCGAUUAAAGGCGAAGCACUGUGAUCAACGCAAAUUUGUCGAGGACGGUUAUUAUUCACAGCCCGUUUCGCCACGUGGGUGAAAGGGGACCUCCGGCUUAAGAAACGAGCGAAAUAAGAGAGAGCCACGUGGAUGGCUCAAGAGGAAGUGGCGGUCGGCGGCGCCCGGACACGGAACCAAUCCGGGGUUCGAUAGUUUAGAUUUUGUUGUUGGAUUUUUGCGUCGGUUAAGUUGGCUUGUGGCCCGCGUUUAAUAGGCGGUGCGGA